RNAcentral lists this transfer RNA (68 nucleotides) under Carollia castanea. RNAcentral's name for it is "tRNA-Lys". It matches the Rfam family "tRNA". From Rfam's summary of the family: Transfer RNA (tRNA) molecules are approximately 80 nucleotides in length. Their secondary structure includes four short double-helical elements and three loops (D, anti-codon, and T loops). Lineage: Eukaryota; Metazoa; Chordata; Mammalia; Chiroptera; Phyllostomidae. The record is from RNAcentral.
CAUCAAGAAGCUAAUUAGCGCUAACCUUUUAAGUUAGAGAUUGGAAGAAUCAAAUCUUCCCCUGAUGA